CCUACGGGAGGCAGCAGUGGGGGAUAUUGCACAAUGGGGGAAACCCUGAUGCAGCGACGCCGCGUGUGGGAAGACGGUCCUCUGGAUUGUAAACCACUGUCCCCAGGGACGAAGAUGCCGGUACCUGGGGAGGAAGCUCCGGCUAACUACGUGCCAGCAGCCGCGGUAAUACGUAGGGAGCGAGGGUUGUCCGGAAUUCCUGGGUGUAAGGGGAGCGUAGGCGGGACUGCAAGUUGGGUGUCAAAUCUACCGGCUCAACCGGUAGCCGCACUCAAAACUGCAGUUCUUGAGUGAAGUAGAGGCAGGCGGAAUUCCUAGUGUAGCGGUGAAAUGCGUAGAUAUUAGGAGGAACACCAGUGGCGAAGGCGGCCUGCUGGGCUUUUACUGACGCUGAGGCUCGAAAGUGUGGGGAGCAAACAGGAUUAGAUACCCUAGUAGUC
RNAcentral lists this ribosomal RNA (440 nucleotides) under uncultured bacterium. Its description in RNAcentral is "partial 16S ribosomal RNA". It matches the Rfam family "Bacterial small subunit ribosomal RNA", at positions 338 to 795 of the family's 1533-position model. The record is from RNAcentral.